AUGAUCGAGCAUGGUAUUUUCCCUUCGAUCAUAGAGGAGAGUGAUGAUGUGCCAUCUUCGGCCUUCAUCCGCGGCGACGACAACGAGAUGGUUGAGCAUGGGAUUCUCCCUUCGACCACGAUGACGUAUGAUGGCUUGAGUGACUUUUGCCACCAUAUUGAGAGUGAGAGUGACUUCACCACUAGCCCCAUAUAUGACGAGUUGCCCCAAUUCCCAUGUGAGGAGAGCCACAACCCCCACCACUUGAGUGAGAUGAGUGACUCCACCAUAUGUGAGUUUGAGUGCACCUAUUUUGAGGAGUGA
Molecule: ribosomal RNA, 303 nt
Filed under: Triticum aestivum (bread wheat)
Lineage: Eukaryota; Viridiplantae; Streptophyta; Magnoliopsida; Poales; Poaceae
Description: partial small subunit ribosomal RNA
Source: RNAcentral